Molecule: microRNA precursor, 74 nt
Organism: Cavia aperea (Brazilian guinea pig)
Lineage: Eukaryota; Metazoa; Chordata; Mammalia; Rodentia; Caviidae
Source: Ensembl
GGUCUCACUUUGUAGUCCAGGCUGGCCUUAAAUUCAUGGAGAUCCUCCUGCCUCAGCUUUCUGAGUGCUGGGAU